GUUGCAAUCGCAGACGAGUGCGUUGCUGUCGAGGCGCAGUCGUGUCAUCGGGCCAACGUUGAGGAACGCGUCGGCCGGCAGCUGGUGCAGUCGAUUGUUUUGAAGGAAGAGCCGUUCCAAUGCCGGCAGAUCGUUGAACGUGCCAGGUAGAGCACACGCAGAUUCGGAGCGCCGUCGAAGGCGCCCGCCGCUAGCUGCCGAAUACGAUUGUCGUUCAGCAGCAGGGUGUCCAGCUGACCGAGCCCGUGGAACGUUCCCGGGCGUACUUCCGCGAUGUGGUUGAAUCGGAGGUCCCUGAAAACAAUCCGUCGUCUCGCAUAGGUAUCGAUCAGAAAGAACAUCUAUCUUACUUGAACUUCAAGAUGGUAACAAACGAAUGGCGCGCAAUCAAGGCUCGCCGCGCGUGCCUCGAUAAAUUACUUCGAUUCCUUGGCCGUCCGUUGAAACAACUUUGGGAAAUGCGGACGAGGAAAAAGAUCCUCGACCUGCGGGGGUUGAAGAAGCGCGCCGUACAACACAAUGGGAGGACGAAGAACGGCACACUGGCGAUGCACUCGGGGCAGCAUCCAACGAUAGCCUCCACUUCGCGCGCAAUUACUUGGUUUUUGUUCGCCCCCGGAGGACGGGUUCCUCGUGGUCUGUUUUCAGGCUGCGGCAAAGCGGAUCCCGUUUUGCCGCACGGCUGCGAGGGAGCGAGAGAGACAGCGAGAGAUUUCCGCUCUUUGUUCGCUCUGUCCCCGCUGUCGUCCAGCUCGUCCUUGCGCCGCUACGUCGUCCGUAAACGCGAAGGGGCGUAGAGAAGAGUAUCGUCGCGAUCAAUUUGCAUCGCGAUAUCGAAUAUCGAUUGCGCAAUUGGUCACGAUGUAACGCGACGUUACGACGGGCGGAUCGAUCGCCGCGCGAUUCAUUCUCGGCUGACAAUCGUACGGGAGGUAAUUAUCGUUACAUAACAAUAACAAAUGCGCGACGUCGAUCGGGCAGAAACGUCGGCCGUAAUGCCGGCGAUAAUUUUGCCAUGUAACGGACGAUUGUGUUAUUCAACUGCAUCGCGAGUUCACCUCUGCGUGUCUUAUGAAUGCGACACCCAAGCAGCACAGGAAUAUUCUAUAAAUUUUCCAUGAAUAUUCAUCAAGUAUUUGUAUAUUCUAUGAAUGCGCCAAAAACACUGUUAUAUUUUCAUAGUAUGUUGAUAGUUUGAAUGAUAUAACUAUAAAAUGUUCUAUGAAUGUGCACAGAAUAUACGUAAAACGUAGCUUAAUCACAUUGAUUUUGCUUUUACAAUUAUAAAGGAAUAAUUCAAGUAUUUCGAUACGUAUCAUUACCAAGCUGUAAACAAGUAUUGCUAAUUACAUUAGGAAAACUUUACAGUUACAUGAAUAUAUUGCACAUUGCGCAGUAAAAUCAACCUUACGAUUGUUCAGAGCACAUUGUUUUCUAUUAUAAUGUAUCCAUAGAAUUCGAUUCGAAUAUUACGGAAUUAAAAAUAUUUGUAUUUCCUAAGAAUAUUUAUAGAAUAUUUUUUGCUAUUUGGGUAGUGGCAAUUCUCACUCAAUUGAAUACCAUCAGAUUCACUGCACAGAACAAAAUUAAAAUUAACAAUUAAUGUUUCGUAUCUAAACAAUGAUAAAUAAUUUUCAUGUUAAAAGAAUUUUUAGGUUUCGAAUUUCGACACACAAUAUUAUUUGAAUAUUAUAAUUGAUAAUUAAAUAAAUCGUAAUGAUCCUCUUCCAACAUUUAAAAAAACAUCAUAUUCUCAAUCCAAUAUUUUGCUUUCUAUUUAUUACAAUUAUUUUUUUAUAACAAGAAUAUAUUUUUUUUUUAUUGAAUCUCAUAUACACAUAUACAAAAUGUAUUGAUAUAAAUCCCUUUGUUUAACGUUAUGUAAUUUUAUUUUAAGAGAUUUAGACAUGUCAAUAAAAAUAAAGAUUUCAAAACA
Long non-coding RNA from Odontomachus brunneus, 1936 nucleotides. RefSeq lists it as uncharacterized. The transcript has 3 exons. Lineage: Eukaryota; Metazoa; Arthropoda; Insecta; Hymenoptera; Formicidae. The record is from RefSeq and is a predicted model, not a curated record.